RNAcentral lists this ribosomal RNA (433 nucleotides) under uncultured bacterium. Its description in RNAcentral is "partial 16S ribosomal RNA". It matches the Rfam family "Bacterial small subunit ribosomal RNA", at positions 29 to 507 of the family's 1533-position model. The record is from RNAcentral.
AACGAACGCUGGCGGCAUGCCUAACACAUGCAAGUCGAACGAGACCUUCGGGUCUCGUGGCGCACGGGUGCGUAACGCGUGGGGACCUGCCCUUAGGUUCGGAAUAACUCCCCGAAAGGGGUGCUAAUACCGGAUAAUGUCUUCGGACCAAAGAUUUAUCGCCUUUGGAUGGGCCCGCGUUGGAUUAGCUAGUUGGUAGGGUAAAAGCCUACCAAGGCGACGAUCCAUAGCUGGUCUGAGAGGAUGAUCAGCCACACUGGGACUGAGACACGGCCCAGACUCCUACGGGAGGCAGCAGUGGGGAAUAUUGGACAAUGGGCGAAAGCCUGAUCCAGCAAUGCCGCGUGAGUGAUGAAGGCCUUAGGGUUGUAAAGCUCUUUUACCCGGGAUGAUAAUGACAGUACCGGGAGAAUAAGCUCCGGCUAACUCCGUG